This is a long non-coding RNA of Hippocampus comes (tiger tail seahorse), 471 nucleotides long. RefSeq lists it as uncharacterized. The record is from RefSeq and is a predicted model, not a curated record. The transcript is spliced from 2 exons. Lineage: Eukaryota; Metazoa; Chordata; Actinopteri; Syngnathiformes; Syngnathidae.
AUCGACGCUACACUAGAGAACGAUAGGAACUCACACUGGACCUCUUUGGUGUCACAGGCAUCAGCAUAUCCGGCGGAAUAGAAUCCAAGGUCCAGCCGGUUGUGAAGGUGGAGAAGAUUUUCCCGGGAGGAGCCGCCUCCACCUGCGAUGUGCUCAAGGCCGGAUUCGAGGUAGUGAGCGUGGAUGGCGCGUCGCUGCAAGGCGUCACGCACCAGCACGCCGUCGACCUCAUCCGAAAAGCCUUCAGCGACAAGGCCAAAGACCCCAUGCUGCUGGUGGUCAAAGUGCCCUGCAAGCCUCCAAACACAUCAUUAGCACAGCCUAGCGGUCAAUGAUGGCCAAACACAUCCCAAUUUAGAAACAAAACCGCAAUUGAACGAUUCAGUGUGACCUUUAAUAAAAACACAAUGUACAGCAAGGUGAAAAUAUACAUUUGUACUUCUUAACGUGCUGUGGAAGCCCGACAAACAU